This is a non-coding RNA of Doryrhamphus excisus (bluestripe pipefish), 839 nucleotides long. The record is from RefSeq and is a predicted model, not a curated record. NCBI's taxonomy places the organism in Eukaryota, Metazoa, Chordata, Actinopteri, Syngnathiformes, Syngnathidae.
UUUUUGGAAUGUGGGAGGAAACCGGAGUACCCGGAGAAAACCCACGCAUGCACGGGGAGAACAUGCAAACUCCACACAGAGAUGGCCGAGGGUGGAAUUGAACCCUGGUCUCCGAGCUGUGAGGUCUGCGCGCUAACCACUCGUCCACCGUGCAGCUCCUGUUUCGUAUUAAUAUUAUAUAUAUUAUAACAACCGUCUCCAGCCGCAUCCAGACAUGAAGAAAAAGAAUGGAGAGGUAAAGGAGGAUGACAAUGAGGAAGGGCAGGAUGAAGACAAUAGCUAGAGGAGUGAAGACCCAUAAUAAGUACUCCAAAACACUCAGGCAUGACUGAUUCCCAGCAUCUGACAUCCUUCCUCCCUGUCAGUCACUGAAGAUGUCGCAGUCGAUACACCGCCGAUUGGAUCAGCUGAGCCUCUUUAAGCGUGGAUCCCGCCGAUCAUACUACAUGAAUGGAGAUAAAAUAAAUAAAUAAGACAAUGAUGUGGCUUUUGAGUAAGUACAACUAAUGUCAUGUUUCAUCGUUAGCCGCACCGUGACGUCACGAAAUCCAGCAUUGAUCACAUGACAAGAGAAGUCUGACAUGAUUACAUGGUGCUAGCUAGUCAAAAUGUAUGACACGAGCUAUGAACAAAGACACUAUUAAAUACGUAAUAACAUACUGGGAUAUGGAUCAGAAUAAUAGCAUACAUAAAUGGUGGGCAGUCGUCUGGUGAUGUUAACACAGUGAUAACACUCUCGUAACAGUAAACCAUGCACUUGUUAACAUAACCAUGAUCAACAGAAUAAAUACAAAGAAUUACCAAAGGCGGGAACCUUGCGUGCAGAUUCAUUCACUUAA